ACUUAAAUUGAAGAGUUUGAUCAUGGCUCAGAUUGAACGCUGGCGGCAGGCCUAACACAUGCAAGUCGAGCGGUAGCACAGAGAGCUUGCUCUCGGGUGACGAGCGGCGGACGGGUGAGUAAUGUCUGGGAAACUGCCUGAUGGAGGGGGAUAACUACUGGAACGGUAGCUAAUACCGCAUAAUGUCGCAAGACCAAAGUGGGGGACCUUCGGGCCUCAUGCCAUCAGAUGUGCCCAGAUGGGAUUAGCUAGUAGGUGGGGUAACGGCUCACCUAGGCGACGAUCCCUAGCUGGUCUGAGAGGAUGACCAGCCACACUGGAACUGAGACACGGUCCAGACUCCUACGGGAGGCAGCAGUGGGGAAUAUUGCACAAUGGGCGCAAGCCUGAUGCAGCCAUGCCGCGUGUGUGAAGAAGGCCUUCGGGUUGUAAAGCACUUUCAGCGGGGAGGAAGGCGAUAAGGUUAAUAACCUUGUCGAUUGACGUUACCCGCAGAAGAAGCACCGGCUAACUCCGUGCCAGCAGCCGCGGUAAUACGGAGGGUGCAAGCGUUAAUCGGAAUUACUGGGCGUAAAGCGCACGCAGGCGGU
This 590-nucleotide ribosomal RNA is filed under the name Klebsiella pneumoniae. RNAcentral describes it as "bacterial SSU rRNA". It matches the Rfam family "Bacterial small subunit ribosomal RNA", at positions 1 to 579 of the family's 1533-position model. Lineage: Bacteria; Pseudomonadati; Pseudomonadota; Gammaproteobacteria; Enterobacterales; Enterobacteriaceae. The record is from RNAcentral.